UUGCUGAAAACUUGUGCAAACUUGAUGUAGUAGAGGAAGUAAAAGUCAUAACAAGGUUUCUGUAGGUGAACCUGCAGAAGGAUCAUUA
RNAcentral lists this ribosomal RNA (88 nucleotides) under Quambalaria simpsonii. RNAcentral describes it as "partial 18S ribosomal RNA". It matches the Rfam family "Eukaryotic small subunit ribosomal RNA", at positions 1744 to 1831 of the family's 1831-position model. The record is from RNAcentral. Lineage: Eukaryota; Fungi; Basidiomycota; Exobasidiomycetes; Microstromatales; Quambalariaceae.